AUAUAUAUAUAUAUAUACAUAUAUAUAUAUAUAUAUAUGUAUACAUACACACAUAUAUAUAUAUAUAUAUAUAUACAUACACACAUAUAUAUAUAUAUAUAUAUAUAUAUA
RNAcentral lists this microRNA precursor (111 nucleotides) under Tetraodon nigroviridis (spotted green pufferfish). RNAcentral's name for it is "miRNA (ENSTNIG00000020260.1)". The record is from RNAcentral. Lineage: Eukaryota; Metazoa; Chordata; Actinopteri; Tetraodontiformes; Tetraodontidae.